This 68-nucleotide transfer RNA is filed under the name Marmota monax (woodchuck). RNAcentral describes it as "tRNA.Ala". Lineage: Eukaryota; Metazoa; Chordata; Mammalia; Rodentia; Sciuridae. The record is from RNAcentral.
GGAUUAUGGCUCAGUGGUAGAGUGCUGGCCUAGCAAGGCCAGGGGGCUGGGUUCGGUCCUCAGCACCA